CCUACGGGCGGCAGCAGUAGGGAAUAUUGCUCAAUGGGGGAAACCCUGAAGCAGCAACGCCGCGUGGAGGAUGAAGGUUUUCGGAUUGUAAACUCCUUUUGUUAGAGAAGAUAAUGACGGUAUCUAACGAAUAAGCACCGUCUAACUCCGUGCCAGCAGCCGCGGUAAUACGGAGGGUGCAAGCGUUACUCGGAAUCACUGGGCGUAAAGCGCGCGUAGGCGGGAUAGCAAGUCAGAUGUGAAAUCCUAUGGCUUAACCAUAGAACUGCAUUUGAAACUGUUAGUCUAGAGUAUGGGAGAGGUAGGUGGAAUUCUUGGUGUAGGGGUAAAAUCCGUAGAGAUCAAGAGGAAUACUCAUUGCGAAGGCGACCUGCUAGAACAUAACUGACGCUGAUGCGCGAAAGCGUGGGGAGCAAACAGGAUUAGAUACCCUAGUAGUC
This 440-nucleotide ribosomal RNA is filed under the name uncultured bacterium. RNAcentral's name for it is "partial 16S ribosomal RNA". It matches the Rfam family "Bacterial small subunit ribosomal RNA", at positions 338 to 795 of the family's 1533-position model. The record is from RNAcentral.